This 450-nucleotide ribosomal RNA is filed under the name uncultured bacterium. RNAcentral's name for it is "bacterial SSU rRNA". It matches the Rfam family "Bacterial small subunit ribosomal RNA", at positions 329 to 793 of the family's 1533-position model. The record is from RNAcentral.
UGCCAGACUCCUACGGGAGGCAGCAGUGGGGAAUAUUGGGCAAUGGGCGCAAGCCUGGCCCAGCAGCGCCGCGUGAAGGAAGAAGGCUUUCGGGUUGUAAACUUCUUUUCUCAGGGACGAAGAAAGUGACGGUACCUGAGGAAUAAGCCACGGCUAACUACGUGCCAGCAGCCGCGGUAAUACGUAGGGGGCAAGCGUUAUCCGGAUUUACUGGGUGUAAAGGGAGCGUAGACGGCGAUGCAAGCCAGAUGUGAAAGCCCGGGGCUCAACCCCGGGACUGCAUUUGGAACUGUGUGGCUGGAGUGUCGGAGAGGCAGGCGGAAUUCCUAGUGUAGCGGUGAAAUGCGUAGAUAUUAGGAGGAACACCAGUGGCGAAGGCGGUCUGCUGGACAGCAACUGACGCUGAGGCGCGAAAGCGUGGGGAGCAAACAGGAUUAGAUACCCUUGUAG